Vicia faba (fava bean) is the source of this 350-nucleotide non-coding RNA. NCBI's taxonomy places the organism in Eukaryota, Viridiplantae, Streptophyta, Magnoliopsida, Fabales, Fabaceae. The record is from the annotation of a GenBank genome assembly.
AGAUUAGGGUUUAUGCAGCCACACUCCUUUUACAUAAUGAUAUCGAUUUCUCAUUGAUGCAUCGCAGAUUUCCCCAAAAUAUUACUCCCUCCUCUCAUAAAAAAGUGUCUCGUUUAAUCACAAUCACAAUAAUCACAGUAAUGCUAUUCGCACUUGCGUUUUUGCUACUACUACUCUCUCUCGCUAUGUCCUUUUUCUUAACCAUACCACGCGCCCUUCAUUGUUUCACAGAUUCUCUUUCUCUCUCUUUCAUUCUCAAGAGAAGGUCACGAUCGUUUUGGAGUGUGGAUCUCGAUGGAUCGAUCAUCGGCGAAGUAUGCUUGCCGAUGGCGUGGCAUUUUCCCGGUUAA